RNAcentral lists this ribosomal RNA (156 nucleotides) under uncultured bacterium. RNAcentral describes it as "partial 16S ribosomal RNA". It matches the Rfam family "Bacterial small subunit ribosomal RNA", at positions 338 to 510 of the family's 1533-position model. The record is from RNAcentral.
CCUACGGGGGGGCAGCAGUGGGGAAUCUUAGACAAUGGGGGCAACCCUGAUCUAGCCAUGCCGCGUGAGUGAUGAAGGCCUUAGGGUUGUAAAGCUCUUUCAGCUGGGAAGAUAAUGACGGUACCAGCAGAAGAAGCCCCGGCUAACUCCGUGCCA